GACGAACGCUGGCGGCGUGCUUAACACAUGCAAGUCGAACGGAAAGGCGCUGCUUUUGCGGGGUGCUCGAGUGGCGAGCGGGUGAGUAACACGUGAGUAACCCGCCCUUGACUGGGGGAUAACUUCAGGAAACUGGGGCUAAUACCGGAGAGGAGAUCCUGCAGCAUGGGGGGGGUUGGAAAGUUUCGGCGGUGGGGGAUGGACUCGGGGCUUAUCAGCUGGUUGGUGGGGUAGUGGCUGACCAAGGCUUUGACGGGUAGCCGGCCUGGGAGGGUGACCGGCCACCUUGGUCCUGCGGUACGCCCCAGUCUCCUACGGGAGGCAGCGGUCGGAAGUCUUGCACAGUGGGCCGGCGCCUGUUGCAGCAGCGCCGCGUGCGUGAUGCCGGCCUUCUGGUUGUAAACCGCUUUCGCCUGUGACGAAGCGUUAGUGACGGUAAUGGGUAAAGAAGCACCGGCUAACUACGUG
Molecule: ribosomal RNA, 468 nt
Filed under: uncultured bacterium
Lineage: Bacteria
Description: partial 16S ribosomal RNA
Rfam family: Bacterial small subunit ribosomal RNA
Source: RNAcentral